This 357-nucleotide ribosomal RNA is filed under the name uncultured Cellulomonas sp. RNAcentral's name for it is "bacterial SSU rRNA". It matches the Rfam family "Bacterial small subunit ribosomal RNA", at positions 427 to 795 of the family's 1533-position model. Lineage: Bacteria; Bacillati; Actinomycetota; Actinomycetes; Micrococcales; Cellulomonadaceae. The record is from RNAcentral.
AAACCUCUUUCAGCAGGGAAGAAGCGCAACCUGACGCUACCUGCAGAAGAAGCGCCGGCUAACUACGUGCCAGCAGCCGCGGUAAUACGUAGGGCGCAAGCGUUGUCCGGAAUUAUUGGGCGUAAAGAGCUCGUAGGCGGUUUGUCGCGUCUGCUGUGAAAACUCGAGGCUCAACCUCGGGCUUGCAGUGGGUACGGGCAGACUAGAGUGCGGUAGGGGAGACUGGAAUUCCUGGUGUAGCGGUGGAAUGCGCAGAUAUCAGGAGGAACACCGAUGGCGAAGGCAGGUCUCUGGGCCGCAACUGACGCUGAGGAGCGAAAGCAUGGGGAGCGAACAGGAUUAGAUACCCUGGUAGUC